RNAcentral lists this long non-coding RNA (364 nucleotides) under Apteryx owenii (little spotted kiwi). RNAcentral describes it as "lncRNA (ENSAOWG00000016819.1)". Lineage: Eukaryota; Metazoa; Chordata; Aves; Apterygiformes; Apterygidae. The record is from RNAcentral.
CAUGCAGCGGUUCGAGCGGGACCCGUACGCGGACAGGGCGCGGUACUCUGCGUUUUGAGUCGGAGGAUGUGACCCCAAAGAGGAAGAAGCUUGGCAGGAAAAUCCCUCCCUGAGGAAGCAGCUCUGGGCUUUCCCCGUACGCUAGGAAUGGCAGAGACUUUUGCCGCGGCCUUGGAGAGCGGCACCCGACGGCCCUCGGAGGCUUGGCGGAGCUCUCGUUCUGGUCGCGUGCGCCGGGGCGGAAGCGUUCGGCCGGACCCCCCGCACCCGCUCCCCCGCUGCCCGCCCGCCGCGGGCUCCGGGGCGCCGCUGCCCUGCGCUUUUUUUUACGGAGGUUCCUGCGUCUCGGUCCCGCUGCGGCCCC